Molecule: ribosomal RNA, 253 nt
Filed under: uncultured bacterium
Lineage: Bacteria
Description: partial 16S ribosomal RNA
Rfam family: Bacterial small subunit ribosomal RNA
Source: RNAcentral
UACGUAGGGGGCGAGCGUUGUCCGGAGUUACUGGGCGUAAAGCGCACGCAGGCGGUCUGCUAAGUUUGGAGUGACAGUUGGUGGCUCAACCACCAAAGUGCUUUGAAAACUGACAGACUUGAGGGCUUCAGAGGGACACGGAAUUCCGGGUGGAGUGGUGAAAUGCGUAGAGAUCCGGAGGAACACCGAAGGCGAAGGCAGUGUCCUGGGGAGUACCUGACGCUCAGGUGCGAAAGCUAGGGGAACGAACGGG